UAACAUUUUAUUUGAUUUAUACAAUAACAUAAUAGUAUUCAGAUUAGUACAUAUACAGUAACAUACUAGUAUUCUGAUUAGUCAGUCCUGAUUGAAAUGUAUACAUAAUUAGUCAUCAUUGAUAAAAAUUCCCUUAACAGCCAGCCAGACCAGUUGGAUAACAUGAUAGAGCUCUAUGGCCAGUCAGACCAGUUGGAUAACAUGAUAAUAGAGCUCUUUGGCCAGCCAGACCAGUUGGAUAACAUGAUAGAGCUCUUUGGCCAGUCAGAUAACAUGAUAAUAGAGCUAUGGCCAGCCAGACCAGUUGGAUAUAACAUGAGAAUAGAGCUCUUUGACCAGUCAGAUAACAUGGUAAUAGAGCUCUUUGGCCAGUCAGAUAACAUGAUAGAGCUCUUUGGCCAGUCAGACAACAUGGUAAUAGAGCUCUUUGGCCAGUCAGAUAACAUGAUAAUAGAGCUCUUUGGCCAGCCAGACCAGUUGGAUAACAUGAUAGAGCUCUUUGACCAGUCAGACCAGUUGGAUAACAUGAUAAUAGAGCUCUUUGUCCAGUCAGAUAACAUGAUAAUAGAGCUCUUUGGCCAGUUGGAUAACAUGAUAAGAGCUCUUUGGCCAGUCAGACCAGUUGGAUAACAUGGUAAUAGAGCUCUUUGGCCAGUCAGAUAUAACAUGAUAGAGCUCUUUGGCCAGUCAGACCAGUUGGAUAUAACAUGAUGAGAGCUCUUUGGCCAGGCACUUGAACCCCAUUGAAAAGCUGUGUUUUGAAUGGAAGAGGGCAGACCAUAACCCCAGAGGAAGCAGGAUAUCUAUGAUCUGAAAGGAUUCUGUAUGGAGGGAUAGUUUAAGAUCCCUUCCUAUGUUUAUUACCUUCUCAGAAAACAUUUUAGAAAAAGGCCACGCCGUUAUCCUCGCAAGGUGAGGUAUUGAAAACUGGUGUCAAUUUUUACUAACAUUUGAGGAGAACAUUUUGUUUAACAAUCUCUUUGAACAAUUGUAUAAGUAUACAAUUUGGGAAAUGUUUAAGCAUAAAAUAUAACUCAGAAUAUGAAUUGUUUUUGCUCAUCUUUAUCAAGGGUGUCAAUCAUUUCAGCCCCCACUAUCCAGAAUAAUCACUAUGUUGAAUAUAAUUUCAGCCCCCACUAUAAUCACUACGUUGAAUGUGCUGGCUGGUUUGACUUUCAGAUGAUUGAUGAUGUCAUCUAGUUUCAUUAGGACCACUCCUCCUCCUCAACAUUCUUACCUACAGCUCAGACACUAGGCCACAGUAGCAGAGAUGUUCUGUUACCUACUGUACAGACACUAGGCUACAGUAGCAGAGAUGUUCUGUUACCUACUGUACAGACACUAGGCCACAGUAGCAGAGAUGUUCUGUUACCUACUGUACAGACACUAGGCCACAG
Long non-coding RNA from Oncorhynchus tshawytscha (Chinook salmon), 1397 nucleotides. Lineage: Eukaryota; Metazoa; Chordata; Actinopteri; Salmoniformes; Salmonidae. The record is from Ensembl.